Molecule: ribosomal RNA, 445 nt
Filed under: Lucilia ampullacea
Lineage: Eukaryota; Metazoa; Arthropoda; Insecta; Diptera; Calliphoridae
Description: partial 16S ribosomal RNA
Source: RNAcentral
UUUAAGCGGCUACACCUAAAAUUAUAUCUUAAUCCAACAUCGAGGUCGCAAUCUUUUUUAUCGAUAUGAACUCUCCAAAAAAAUUACGCUGUUAUCCCUAAAGUAACUUGUUUUUUUAAUCGCUAAUAACGGAUCAAUUAUUCAUAAAUUAAUGAUUUAAACAAUUAAAAGUUUAUUAAAUUUUAAUAUCACCCCAAUAAAAUAUAAUCUAUUAUCAUAACAAAAAAAAUCUACAAAAUUAUAAUAAUAUAAAUAUAAAGAUUUAUAGGGUCUUCUCGUCUUUUAAAUAAAUUUUAGCUUUUUGACUAAAAAAUAAAAUUCUAUUAUAAAUUUUUAUGAAACAGUUAAUAUCUCGUCCAACCAUUCAUACCAGCCUUCAAUUAAAAGACUAAUGAUUAUGCUACCUUUGCACAGUUAGUAUACUGCGGCCAUUUAAAAAAAAAUU